GCCAGGUGUGGUGGGGUGUGCCUGUAGUCCCAGCUACUCGGGAGGCUGAGGUGAGGGGAUUGCUUGAACCCAGGAGGCUGAGGCUGCAGUGGGCCAUGAUCUUGCCACUGCACUCUGGCCUGGGUGACAGAGUGAGACCCUGUCUCAA
This 148-nucleotide non-coding RNA is filed under the name Homo sapiens (human). The record is from Rfam by way of RNAcentral. Lineage: Eukaryota; Metazoa; Chordata; Mammalia; Primates; Hominidae.